This 13884-nucleotide long non-coding RNA is filed under the name Vitis vinifera (wine grape). RNAcentral's name for it is "long non-coding RNA (VVIN_LNC003680)". The record is from RNAcentral. Lineage: Eukaryota; Viridiplantae; Streptophyta; Magnoliopsida; Vitales; Vitaceae.
AAAAUUAAUUACAAAUAAAGGCAAUCCCCACUAAUCUGUGGUUAAUUAAUUACAAGACGUGGGCUUAUAAUUUCUAAUCUAUAGUUGUGUAAAAUUCAGCAAGGACCUCCUGUAGUCAAAAGAGUCCAUAGAAUUAUGUAUGGACCAUAAUAUAUAAAUAUGAACGUACACCUUCAGCUGGUUCUUUCCUACUUCUGUGUUUUGAAUGAGAAAGGAGGGGGAGUUCUCAUGCUAAGAGUAGCAGACUGAACAAAAAAAGGAAUAAGGAUGGAAAAUGACACCUCAAAAGAAAAAAAAAUGUUGACAUUGCAAUAGCCAUGCAUUCAUAAUAGAGCCAACUUGAUUAGUACAGGGAAUCUAUAUCAAUCAAAAUUGCUAUCAGGAUAUGGGUAUCAAAAGUCUUGAACAUCUUUCUCAGGCUAACUUAUUCAUCGGGGAGGCCAUCCAAUUGAUAUAUAACUGAUGGAAACCUUUUAUUACAUGAACCCAUUGAACCAACUUUAUAUUAAUUCAAUUCAAGCCUGUUCCUUUAAUUCAUCAAUCCUAGCUGUUGCCUGUGGCUUUGAAGUCUUAUUUUGCAGAUUAUACAUGACCCACUCAUUGCAUGCUCCAUGCCCAAAUUAUGAUACAUAUCCAUCAUUUUGAUAUAGCAGGUCAUAGAAUGUCACAUUUUUUUGGACUUAGUACCACAAGGCCAGAACAAGUCUCCAAUAAUAUGGCACUAGGUGCAUCUUACCUCCAGGCUUUAAUGUAUGGCUAACUUCAUUAAACUCCAGUCUAGAAUCUUUUGUCAUCAUGCAAUAUACCAUUUUGGAGCGCUAUAAAAAAGUUCCCUUUUCUGCUAAAAUGGCCGAGGAAAAACUUCAGUCCUAAAUCUUCUCCUUGGUUCUCCAUGAAAGAGCUUCAGCAAUGGAGAAGACAACUUGCUUUCUGUUAUUGCAAGAAGAUGGUUUUAUGUACAGAUUUGUUUAACAACUAGACUAACAAGCUACAGGUGUAACCAUUCAACUAAUCAAGAUAUCAUUUUGGUGGGGAGUCCGUUAAGCAACUGCUGAUCUAGUUAGGUUCUUGAUGUUUAUCAUCCCCUUGCAAGCUCAUUGGGCGUGGGACUAUUGAUAAUUUGGAACUAAACGUGAAGAACAGUGAACUUGGAAGAUGUUUUGUGAAAAUAUUAGCUACCUGACUUGUGGAAGUAAUGUAUUGUAUGAUCAGAUCUUUUUGAAGGACUUUGUCAUGAAUGAAGUGUAAGUAUAGUUCAAUGUGUUUGGAGCGUGCAUGAAGUACGGGAUUGGCAGCUAAGGUAGCUGCACUUUGAUUGUCACACCAAACUAGAGGAGGAAGAACUUGAGGUAUGCACAACUCCUUCAAAAUUGAUUGUACCCAAGUUAUCUCAGCUGUAAGAGAUGCAAGACCUCGCCAUUCCAAUCCUGAACUACUUCAGGAGACUACCUUUUGUUUAGUGGAGGACCAUGAGACCAAGUCGGGUCCUAGGAAGAGACAAUAUCCACCAGUGCUGUGGCGAUCAUCAAGACAAGAUGCCUAAUAUGCAUUAGUAUACCCUUGAAUAUCAAGGGAGGAAGAAACAUGUAGUAGCGAGGGUGUGCCUUUCAGAUAGCGAAGGAUUCUCUUGACUGCACACCAGUGAGUUGAGCCAUAAAUUGGCGAGCUUUGUUAACAACAAAGGAUAGGUCCGGUCUUGUGAGAGUUACAUAUUGAAGGGCCCCAAUCAUGCUUCUGUAUAGAGUAGGAUCAGGAAGAGGAUCUCCAUAAACCAUAAGAGUUGUUUACCCAGAGCACCCGGGGUGAUAACUGAUUUAGCAUCAAGCAAAUUGGUUCUUUUGAGAAGGUCCUGAAUAUACUUCCAUUGGUUGAGAUGGAGGGAAUUUAGUCAAUGAGUGCUUCAACACCCAAAAAAUAACUGAGAGUGCCAAGGUCCCGAAGUGCAAAUGUGUUGCUUAGGUGAGAAAUGAAGGAAUUUACUGGAGAGGUAUCACUACCGGUGAUGAGAAUGUCAUCUACAUAGAUUAAAAGAAAUAGAAUUUCUGUAUCUAUGUGCCGGAAAAACAAAGAGCUGUCAGCCCGGAAGCAUUGAAAUCCCAAUUCAAUUAGAGAGUUACUUAAUUUGGUGAACCAAGCUCUGGGGGCUUGUUCGAGGCCAUAGAGGACUUUGUGAAGACAGCAUACAUGGGAUGGGAAUUGGUUAUUGAUAAACCCAGGUGGAUGGUGAAUGUAGACUUGUUCCUGAAGAUCCCUAUUAAGGAAUGCAUUCUCGAUAUCUAGUUGUCAUAUCGGUCAAUGUGAGGAUAGAGCUAGGGUGAGCAUGAUACGAAGGGUUGAGGGUUCCACCACUGGAUUGAAAAUCUAAAACUAGCCAUUAUACAACUGUUAUUGUUGACAUAUUUGAGGAACCCAUGACUUGACAACUGGUAUUGUUGACGUUUUGGUUGCCCCUUCAAGCCAUUAUACAAGAGGAAAUACAAGGCUAUAUAUCAGGAGCAUGGGGAUGGUUUGUAACCUGUAACUAACUUAUAACAAACUCCCAGCUCAAAAAUUAGCUUAUUACAACAAGAAAAACAAAAAAUACCUCAAUCAGUUUAAUAUAAGUAAAUUUCAAAGAUGAUGUGUUACACAAUUGAAUGAAUCCUAAUUUCGUUGAGACCAAAAUAUUCCAUUACUUUAAAAGCUAGGUGUUAUACAUUCCAAAAAAUUUAGCCUGAGACAGGCCGUGAUUUGGUUUCAACUCCCUUAUGAAAUCUAUGGAAUAUCGUAAUAAUACACUAAAUUCUUUUCCAAUGUUUGGGUAUUCAAUCAUCAAUUAUCCAUUGUUUUAUAUGAUGAGAAACCAUUCUCUUGUAAUUAUGGAUGACACGUUACGGUGAUGCACCAAAUAGGACAAGAACAUCCUCCUAAUAGCACGUAGUUCAAUAUUAGAGCAAUUAAUACAAAAAGAAAACAUCCUAAACUACGAAUAAUUUAGGAUUCCAGACACGAACUAGGUAGAGAUUUUUAUACAGAAGAGAACAAUUCUAGUAAUAAUUUAACCAACUAAUAUUAAACAAAGUAGCUGAUGGAGAUGGGUCCAAAUCACAACAUUUUAAUUUUCAAGGCACGUAGAUAAGCGUAUCGAAGGUUUUCCUUGGCAGUAUUAUUUGAGAUCAGUGUGUUAUGGGAGGGAAUUUUUCCUAUAUAAACCCCUGCUGCAAUCUCCGAGUGUAUCAAUCUGCUUACUCAUUUAAUUCAUCAAUCCCUACUGCUUCCAAUAUCAUGGCUUCUGUUAACCAGUACCAAUACAUCUGUUUGGCUUUGCUCUUUGUUCUGGCUGCUUGGGCAUCUCAAGCCACAGCCCGCAACCUUCAUGAGGCAUCAAUGUAUGAGAGACAUGAGGAUUGGAUGGCUCAGUAUGGGCGUGUAUAUAAGGAUGCUGACGAGAAAAGCAAGCGCUACAAGAUAUUCAAGGAUAAUGUGGCACGUAUAGAAUCUUUCAACAAGGCCAUGGACAAAUCUUACAAGCUGAGCAUCAAUGAAUUUGCAGAUCUUACCAACGAAGAGUUCGGAACCUCACGAAAUAGAUUCAAGGCCCACAUCUGCUCCACCGAAGCAACUUCUUUCAAAUACGAGAAUGUUACUGCAGUGCCAUCUACUAUUGAUUGGAGAAAGAAAGGAGCUGUUACACCCAUCAAGGACCAAGGCCAAUGCGGUAAGUGAAAAUAUUUUUGUAGUAUGGUUUGAAAUGAAUGUUUUUCUCACUUUUUUAUGAUAAAAAAAUGCAGGGUCUUGCUGGGCAUUUUCGGCUGUGGCAGCUAUGGAAGGAAUUACUCAGCUAUCGACUGGGAAGCUAAUCUCUCUUUCCGAACAAGAGCUGGUUGACUGUGACACUAGUGGGGAGGAUCAAGGCUGCAAUGGUGGUCUAAUGGACGAUGCCUUCAAAUUCAUAAAAACAAAAUCAUGGUCUCACCACCGAAGCUAACUACCCCUACGCGGGAACUGAUGGCACCUGCAACCGCAAGAAGGCAGCCCACCCUGCAGCCAAGAUAAAUGGGUAUGAAGAUGUGCCAGCCAACAAUGAGAAGGCUCUACAAAAGGCUGUUGUCCACCAACCUAUUGCCGUUGCCAUUGAUGCUGGGGGGUUUGAGUUCCAAUUCUAUUCAAGUGGUGUGUUUACAGGACAGUGUGGCACAGAACUAGACCAUGGUGUUGCUGCGGUUGGUUACGGAACCAGCGAUGAUGGGAUGAAGUAUUGGCUGGUGAAGAACUCAUGGGGCACAGGAUGGGGCGAAGAAGGUUACAUACGGAUGCAGAGGGAUGUGACUGCAAAGGAAGGUCUCUGUGGAAUUGCAAUGCAAGCAUCUUACCCCACCGCAUAAAAUUAAUUGAAAAAAGGCAAUCCCUACUAUCCUGUGGUUAAUCAAUUACAAGAUAUGUUGCGCGGAUAAUUUCUAAUCUAUGGUUGUGUAUAAUUCAGCAAGGAUCCCCUGUAGUCAAAAGAGUCCAUAAAAUUAUGUAUGGACCAUAAUAUAUAAAUAUGAACGUACGCCUUCAGUUGGUUCCUUCCUAUUUCUGUGUUUUGAAUGAGAAAUAACGGGAUCUCAUACCAAAAGUAUCAGACUAAAUAAAGAAAAAGAGCAAGGAUGGAAAAUGACACAAAAAAAAAGGAAGACAAUUUUUUGUUAACAUUGCAAUUAGCCAAAACAAUUUCUUAGCUUUAUGCAACAUACCAACACCACCACUAGCAAGCAAGAUAUCAUCAACAUAUAUAAUCGAAAAUACAAAUUUGGUCUUACCAACCUUUAGAUAAACACAACAAUCAAUGGUGUUUCUUAAUUCAAAGGAAGUUACUAUGUCAUUCAACUUAAGAUACAAUUGUUGAGAGGCUUGUUUAUGUAGGGAAUACUUGGAUUACACCAUUCACUAUCCUAAGACCGGUUAAGGUGCAUGCAAUAUUUCUUAGGGCCUUUAGAUCUUAGCAACAUAAGCAACAAAUAUAAAAAACAAUCAAGAUCUAGAAUUUUGUACUUUACCUCAGAUGUGGGUAUUUCCAGAUAUAAUCCAGUUGGUGAAGAGGAGUGUCAAAGUCGUUGUAGUUGUAGAUAUCGCAAACCCACUAAUCUUCUACCACGAUGACUCUCUUUUUGAAUCUCGGAACUAGAGGGAUGAAAUCCUCUCUCUAGGGUUGUGGAUGACCUAUUAUGGAAUGUAUACACGAAUGCUGAUAAAAAGGACAAUUGUUACACAAUAUCUAAGCAUAAUGUGGCAUAUAUAUAUAGAAACUUUUGACAAUCCCAUGGACAAAACUUCUAUGCUAAGAAUGAAUGAAUUUGUAGGUCUAACUGAUAAAGAAUUCAUAGCCUCACAAAAUAUUUCAAGGUGCACAUUUGUUUUGUAGAAGCAACUUCCUUCAAAUAGAAAGAUGUUAGUUCCAUCCACAAUUAAAUAAAGGAAAAAAUGAGUUGUUGAAAAGUUCUCUUAAUAAUUUAUUUUUAAUCAUUCAUGAAAGCAAAAGAUCAUAAUUCCAAAAAAUUUUGAAUGUCAUGAUUUUUACUAACAUAAAUAUAAUUAAGUUAUUAGACAUACCGUGAUCCAUAAUUGAAACUUUGUUUCAAAUGAGGACCUUUGAACUUCAAUCCAUGGAAAAUCGAUACCUCUCUCUUAGCCCUAUUAAUUUUUUAUACAAUAAUAAUUAAUAUCAUUAAUGAUGGAUCUAUUACUUUUAUAGGUUGAGAGAGGACUAGUUUCAUAUCAUAAACAACUUAUUUUCCAUCAAAGUAAAAUUCCAAAAGAAAAUAUUACUGUAACACACUACAAUAGACAAAUUCAUACUUAAAUAAGUUAUCAUAAAUAGUAUAGUUAAUUAGAAUAAUAAUGUGAGUCAUGGCAGUUGUUUUUUAUUUAUUGUAACACAUUUUCUUCUAUAUACAAACUAGCAAUCUAAGUAACUCAGUCUAUAAAUAUGAAGUAUUAAUAAAUGUCUACAAUUAUGUCAUUACCAUAGACUACUCCUACAUAUCAUCAUUCAUUUAAUCUCUUAUAUGGACACAAAAGGAAAGAUAAGAAACAUCAAAAUCACAUUAUUUACUUGAAAACGUCACUUUAUAAUCAUAAUGCAAAUCUACAAGUUAUUAUUUAAUAAUCACAAUAAAGACUCAUCCUUUCCAUGUAUUCCUUAAAUGUCUCUAAUGGUAAUCUUUUCAUCAAGGGAUAAGCAAUAUUCAUAAACUUUAGACUUAUGUAUUUUAUUGGUACUUUUUGUUUUUAGGCCUCCUUUUCAACAAUAAAUUAUUUCAAUUCUAUGAAUCUCACACCCUUAGAAUAUUUGUGAUUCUUGGAGAAAAAGAUAGUUAUAGAAUUAUCCAAAUAAAUUUUUAGAGGCUUGACAAUAGAGUUGACAAAUUUAAGACCUAAAAUAAUGUCCCACAACACCACAAUUCAUGAAUUGUAACCUUAAAGAAAUCGAAAAUUUUGAAUUCCAUAGUAGAUGAAGCUAUGACAAAAUAUUUCACACUUUUUCAUGAGAUUGCUUCUUUUGCUAGUUAGAGCAAAUAAAUGAAAGUGGGCUUUUUUCUAUCAAGACAUCCAGAAAAAUCUAAAUUUAAUAUCUAAUUACUCCUAGAUGAUCAAAUCUCUUAAAUUUGAGCAUGUACUCUUUCAUUCCUAGUAGAUACUUUGAUAUCUUCUUUGCAAUUUUUAAUGAUCCAUUCUUGGAUUACUUUAUCAUGAUUUGCUCGGCAUGCUUACAACAAAGCUGAUAUUUGGACUGUUGCAAGUUUGGGUAGACAUCAGACUUGCUACAACACAUAAAUAAGGGAUUCUUUCCUUUUGUUUGUAUUUUAAAUCAUUUCUUGCACAUUAUAUGAGACUAAAUUUAUCCUUUUCCAUAUUAAUGCAAUAGUUGUGAAACAAUUUUCCAUUCCAAAUCUUUCUAGGACUCUAUAUAUUAUUAUAUGCAUUAUGAGAUAAUCCUAAUAAUUCAUGUGACCUAUCCUAUAAUAUUUUAAUUCCAAUCACACAAGCUACCUUUCCCAUAUCUUUAAAAGAUUUUUAGAUGCUUAGUUACCUAGAAUGUCUCUAAAAAUUGGAAAUUUAACAUCCUAAAUUAGUUUUAAAGGAAAUAGUUUAUAAAAAUAAUAAAUCUAACAAACAACUUUUUAUUUCUCUGCUAUUUUUGUUUUAUUUUCCUAGCAACCAAACAUAGUUUAAUGAAAACACAAAAACUUAGGGAAAAUAUGGAAGUAGAAAUACCAUGGAGAUAUUGAGUUUUCUACCAUUCACGUUGUUUCAAGGUAAGUUUGAGUUCCCCUCGAUAGGAUCUUACAUUUCUCUCCAAUGAGUUUGGGGCAUAUAACUCUAAUGGGUUUAGGACAUUAGAUCCUGGGUUGUUCCCUUACAAAUUUGUAAUCACCAUGCAAUCCUAAGAGAAAGAGAUAUGAUGAGGGUUGUUCGUUUAUCUUCUCUACAAUGGUGUUGUAGUGUCCUCUAGUGGGUUUAGGGCUAUGAAAUAGUGCCCCCAUUUUAAUCAAAGGUAUGUUUGGAUUUAAUCAUAAUUAGUUAAUGUUUGGUUUUAAUAUUUUGGAGAUCAUGUUGUCAUGUCAGCUUCCAAUCAACUAUUAUAUGAAAUAUGAUGUGACAUCUUACAAUGGUAUUUUUUACCCUUACUUUUUAUAGCCUCACAUCAAUUAUGGAACUUAUAUGGAUGUUGGACUAACUAUUAGCUUCUUCUAUCCCUAAAGCAUAAUUGUCUCAAAAUUAUUCAAGUAGGUUGAUUACUUGAAGAGAUUGUGAAGGUUCAUUGAAACCUUGGAAUCCAAGUGUAAAGAGUUUGAAGACUUUGACUUUAACCUUUACUCAGCUAGGAGCUUGAAGAAAGUGGACUUAGGUGACUUGCCGAACCACUAUAAAAGCGUUUGGAUUUCUCUUCUCUCAACUUCUUUAUAUUGAUUUGUACCUUAAUUUUAUCAUAUAUUAUGGUAAAUUAUUUACAAAAAGUUUUUAACACUCAAUUCUCCCCCCUUCUUAGGUAUUUUCUCAAGUUAAUUAGCCCUUUUCACAUAAAAGAGGAGAAAAACACUAUCUAGAAAAUCAAAUAAAAAAAAGAGAAAAUCAUACAUGGAAAACUAGAAGUCAUGGUUUGGAAAAUAAAAAGAGUUGAUCUUCCACUAUUCUGACAUUUUCCCUAUUAAAAAUUAACCAUAUCAUUUAUGGAGGAAUAUGUCUUAAGUAGGAAUGGCAACGGGGCGGGUUCGGGAUGGGUCACCCCCAUCCCAACCCCGUCCCGUUUAUUAAAAACAAUACUCAUCCCUGUCCCGUUUAGUUUUUUUUUUAAUUACUUUCAAAUUUUUUAAUUACAUUAAAAUAAAUAUAUUUUAUAAAUAAUAAAAUUAUUAUAUUUUUUAUAACUUAUUUUAUUAAAUUUUUUAUUAUUAUCUAUAUAUUAAAAAUAGUAAAAUAAAAUUUUAAAUUAAAUUAAUUUUAAAAUUAAUUUUAUAUAUAAUAGGGACGGCGGGGGGGAGGGGGGGAUGAGGCAAUACCUGAACCUGCCCCGGGUUUAAAAAAAAAAUUUCAUACCCGUCCCAAACUCGUUUAUUAAAUUUAAACCCCGUCCCAUUAGGGGCGGAGCGGGACGGGUACCCGAAAAAACCCGCCUCGUUGCCAUCCCUAGCCUUAAGUAGUUGUGUUGCUACUCGUGGUAUGGGAACCAUAAUAAGCAACAUGAUGUAUUUUGGAGGUAGGCUACCAUUAUUCAUCACAAUGCACUAAGAUAUUAUCUCAUAGGGGGUGAGGUCUACUCUAUGAGCAGUGAUUACAUGUACGUCUUAAUGGAUCCUAAUAAGUUCUCUCAUUCAUAAUUUGUUCUUGUGGUUUCAUUAAUUCCACCACUCAGAUUUGGAUUUGCGACAUAUUUUGGUUUCUUACAUUUUUUGUUCUACAGAUUAUCUGCUUAUGUUCAACAGGAUUGCCUUAAUUUAAACAAUAAUUUUCAAAAAUUAAUUUGCAAUAAUCUUAGGGUAGAUCUAGAACCAUGAACGCUUCCCUAGUGCUUGUCAAACUUGGCAUAUGUAAGACCAAUUCAAUGGGUCUCAUUUUAAGAGAAAGAAGAAGUGUGCAUUCUCUACCAUUGAUGUGGUUAAUCUACACAUGUUUUGACUGAACAAAAAACUUGAUGAAACAUUUGAACGCUAUGUUGACCAAGUAAGAGGGAAUAAAUCAACAAGUUCUCCAUGCGAUCUUGAGUACCCCCUAUCAAAUAACUUACUUGAUGUUUAUUGCUCUAUUAAAAAUGCAAAAUAUAAAUGGAAAAAUUGAAUAAAAAUGUCAAAGCAUGUGAGAAUACAAAAAUAUACCAUAGGAAUUUUUGAAAUUUCCAAAUGACAGAGUAUAGAGAUAUAUCAUCUCUAAUCCAUGCAUAACAUGUCUUAAUUAGUGAUCUACAAAAUGAACACUUUGACCUACUUAAACCAUUCAUUACUAGGCAUAACAUUACUUGAGUCCUAGAAAGACUAAAAAAAAGGUAUGGAACAUUAGAGUGAACCAAUGUCUUUAGCGGACAUGAUAAUCCAUAUUACAAUUGAAGAACAAAAUAAAAACCAAGACAAUGUUGAGAAAACCAAAGAACUUAUUAGGCUAAUCUAGUAAGACAAACCCAAAAGUAAUAGGAGUACUAAUAACAAUAAGAACAACAAUAAGUCCUAAAAUAAAAAAAAUAAAAAAAAUAAGAAAAUCUAACUCAAAUUCUAUGAACAAGUCUUAGAACCCCAAAAUUUAAAAAAAAAAAAGAAAAAAGAAAAAAGAAAUUGCUUCAUGUGUGGAAAGCCUGGGCAGCAUGCAACAUAAUGCAAACAUAGGAAGAGGAAUGAAGAACCAAAACCUAAGGCCCAUUUAGCUGAGAUUUAUGUGAUAACCAUAAUAGGUCUAGGUGGUAGACUCUAGGGAUACUAGGCACAUAUGUGGAGGGGAUGGUAAUGAACAAGUAUUUAUAGGUGACUUGAGGCCUUUGCUUGUGAUCAACAAAUUAAGGGAAUGUGCUUCUCAAGGCUUGCUCAUGUUAAUUUUUUUUUAUUUAUAUUAUUAAUAAAAAUGCUUUCUACUUGUAUUGUUGGCUCACAUGAUUUAUGGUAUGUCAAGUUAGGACAUGUGCAUUAUUCUUACAAAAAGAAAAAUAGCAAACAUUAAGUUGAUACCUAAAAUUUUGUUUAGAAAAUUAUAGGAAGUGUGAAAGUUGUGUAGAAUCUAAAAAUACUAGGAAAACUUGUCAAUACAAAAGGCAAACAAAAUUCUUGAGUCUUAAUCAAAGAGACUUAUGAGAUUUAAAAGAUAUAAUGACUAGAAGUGGUAUAAGAUUUUCAUAACCUUUAUAGCAUUGUGAUAGCCAAGCUACAUACAACAACAAAGGCUAUGAGUAAAAUAUAUAAUUAAAGAAUGAACUUAUGUGCUUAACUAACAAUAUUAUGUAACAACUACUUAAGAUAUAUAUUAUAUCCCUAGAUUUUAUGAUGUUAGAUUUGAAUUUGAUUGCUCCACUACAAAGGCAACUAAAUAUAUAUUAAGGUAAUGGAAGAAACACCAAGGGCAAUGAGGUUUAUGUCUAACAUAUAGUAACCCAACCAACAUGAAUGGAGAUCUCAAGAAGUAAUUUCAUAUGGGUAAUGAUAAGUCACUUGUUGACUAUAUCAUGCACCAUUGGUUAUUUAAUUAUUUGUAAGAGUCCAUUCCUAUGAUGUAGAUGGUGUAUACUCUACAAUGGUUGACGGUAAGUGCAUUCUCUUAAUUAAUACCAUAUUCCUUAGGAAUGACCUGUUUAGUUGUAGAAUGCACUUGAUGGAUUCACCUAUACGAGAGUAGAAGCAGGACCAUUUUUCUAUAAGAACUUAGCCAAGUUCUUUAUGGCUUUUAUGACUACCUAGAAAAGUUUCAAAGCUUAUUCAUGCUAGCCUUCUUGCACAACUAUGAGUAAAUAAAGCAAUGUCGAUGGUGGCUCCUUGAUCCACAAUAAGAAUGUUUAUAGAAAAUUAAAUUUUCAUCAAAGUUUUGUGGUUCAUAACUUCUCAUUGUAAGGUAAGUUUGAUGCAUUGAGUUCUUAUGUUUCUUCGGCCAUUAUAGUACCUUUUUUUUUCUACUACCAUGCAAUGUAUGGGGGAUUGAGAGAAGGUUGCCUAAGUCUUUAUAUCCCACAUAGGAAGUGGAUGAGAAUAGGAAGUACAAAAAAUAAAAUAAAAUAAAAUAAUAUUCGUCACAGUUUUGUUGCUGAUGUAUUUCCUAAAAAUCAACAAUUGUUUCCUAAAAACAUCGAAAAUAUUUUUCACUUAAAAAUAGCAAUAUAUUAAACUCCAAUAAAAGAAAAAAACUUUCUCCUUCACAAAAAAGAAAAAAAGACCUAUAUGGAGAAUGAAAGAGUCAUAUUAUGAAAACAUAAAGAGUUGAUCGAUCUUCCACUAUUUUGCAAUCUCUCUCAUGUUUUUCUUUUUCAAGGAAUACUCUUGAGUAGUUGUAUUACUGCUUGUGAUUGGAGUUCACCAUCACAAAUAGUAGGAUGUUGUCCUUGGAGAUAGACCACCAUUGUUCCCCGUAUUACACCGGGCGAAAUCUAUUUAAAGGCAAUGGUUACCCGCCUUAACAAAUUGUGCCACAGGUUCUCUUCUUCAUAUUUUGUUUUUGCAGUUUUAUUCCACUAUUCAUGUUUGGCUUUUGAAAUUUUUAUAUUUUGGUUUCCUACAUUUAUUUGCCCCUUAUUAUUUGCUUGUGUUUGUUAGGGUUACUCUGAUUUAAAUGAUAAUUUUCAACUAUUGAUUUCCAGCAAGGGACACCUACAAGAUCCUAAGAUUUUUCUUUUGUUGUUAAAGAAAGUGAUAACGUGUGCUAAUAAUUAAUUAAGUACAUUUCAAAGAUGAUGUAUUACACAAUUGAAUGAAUCCCAAUUUAGUUGAGACAAAAAUAUUCACUUACUUUAAGCUGGGAGUUAAUAGUUAUAUAAUAUUCCAAUAAUUUUGGUCUGAUAUAGGCCGUGAUUUGCUUUCAACACCCUCUUAUGAAAUCUAUGAAAUAUCAUGAUAAUACACUAAAAUUCUUUUCUAAUGGUUGGGCAUUCAAUCAUCAAGCAUCCAUUGUUUUAUAUGAUGAGAAACCAUUCUCUUAUAUUUAUGGAUGACACGGUACGGUGAUGCACCAAAGAGGACAAGAACAUCCUCCUAAUACUACAAAUAAUUUAGGAUUCCAGACACGAACUAGCUAGAGAUUUAUAUACAUAAGAGAACAAUUCUAGUAAUAAUUUAACCAACUAAUAUUAAACAAAGUAGCUGAUGGAGAUGGGUCCAAAUCACAACAUUUUAAUUUCCAAGGCACGUAGAUAAGCGUAUUGAAGGUUUUACUUGGCAGUAUUAUUCGAGAUCAGUGUGCUAUGGGAGGGAAUUUUUCCUAUAUAAACCCCUGCUGCAAUCUCCGAGUGUAUCAAUCUGCUUACUCAUUUAAUUCAUCAAUCCCUACUGCUUCCAAUAUCAUGGCUUCUGUUAACCAGUACCAAUACAUCUGUUUGGCUUUGCUCUUCUUUCUGGCUGCUUGGGCAUCUCAAGCCACAGCCCGCAACCUUCUUGAGGCAUCAAUGUAUGAGAGACAUGAGGAUUGGAUGGCUCAGUAUGGGCGUGUAUAUAAGGAUGCUGAUGAGAAAAGCAAGCGCUACAAGAUAUUCAAGGAUAAUGUGGCACGUAUAGAAUCUUUCAACAAGGCCAUGGACAAAUCUUACAAGCUGAGCAUCAAUGAAUUUGCAGAUCUCACCAACGAAGAGUUCAGAGCCUCCCGAAAUAGAUUCAAGGCCCACAUCUGCUCCACCGAAGCAACUUCUUUCAAAUAUGAGCAUGUUGCUGCAGUGCCAUCUACUGUCGAUUGGAGAAAGAAAGGAGCUGUUACACCCAUCAAGGACCAAGGCCAAUGCGGUAAGUGAAAAUAUUUUUGUAGUAUGGUUUGAAAUUGAUGUUUUUCUCACUUUUUUACGAUAAAAAAAUGCAGGGUCUUGCUGGGCAUUUUCGGCUGUGGCAGCUAUGGAAGGAAUUACUCAGCUAUCAACUGGGAAGCUAAUCUCUCUUUCUGAACAAGAGCUGGUUGACUGUGACACUAGUGGGGAAGAUCAAGGCUGCAAUGGUGGUCUAAUGGACGAUGCCUUCAAAUUCAUAGAACAAAAUCAUGGUCUCGCCACCGAAGCUAACUACCCCUACGCGGGAACUGAUGGCACCUGCAACCGCAAGAAGGCAGCCCACCCUGCAGCCAAGAUAAAUGGGUAUGAAGAUGUGCCAGCCAACAAUGAGAAGGCUCUGCAAAAGGCUGUUGCCCACCAACCUAUUGCUGUUGCCAUUGAUGCUGGGGGGUUUGAGUUCCAAUUCUAUUCAAGUGGUGUGUUUACAGGACAGUGUGGCACAGAACUAGACCACGGUGUUGCUGCUGUUGGUUACGGAACCAGCGAUGAUGGGAUGAAGUAUUGGCUGGUGAAGAACUCAUGGGGCACAGGAUGGGGUGAAGUAGGUUACAUACGGAUGCAAAGGGAUGUGACUGCAAAGGAAGGUCUCUGUGGAAUUGCAAUGCAAGCAUCUUACCCCACCGCAUAAAAUUAAUUGAAAAAAGGCAAUCCCUACUAUCCUGUGGUUAAUCAAUUACAAGAUAUGUUGCGCUGAUAAUUUCUAGUCUAUAGUUGUGUAUAAUUCAGCAAGGAUGCCCUGUGGUCAAAAGAGUCCAUAAAAUUAUGUAUGGACCAUAAUAUAUAAAUAUGAACGUACACCUUCAGUUGGUUCCUUCCUAUUUCUGUGUUUUGAAUGAGAAAUGACAGGGGAUCUCAUACUAAAAGUAUCAGACUAAAUAAAGUAAAAGAAUAAGGAUGGAAAAUGACACCAAAAAAAGAAAGACAAUUUU